RNAcentral lists this unclassified non-coding RNA (327 nucleotides) under Hevea brasiliensis (rubber tree). The record is from RNAcentral. Lineage: Eukaryota; Viridiplantae; Streptophyta; Magnoliopsida; Malpighiales; Euphorbiaceae.
GCUUAUACAAGAAAGUAGCUCAAAACUCACUCUAGCAGAUCAAAUAAAACCGACCAAAAGUUACAUGUUAUGCUGCCUAAGUAGGUUUCCGCAUAUUGCGGCCAGCACGGAUUACCUCAUCCACCAACAGCAACUGCGACGCAAUUACAGGCCCAGAAUUGAUAAUUUGGCGUUUCACUGAGUAGUUGUCAAAGAUACCCUCCAUUUGGGGGUCAAUCGGUUCUCCCGUAUGCUGGUUUAGCCCUACAAUAUUGCCCCGGUCAUGCGCCCCCUUAAGAGCAAUGAGCACAUCCUGUGUAUCGAGCCCAGAGUUCUCAGCAAGUGUCU